CAGGCUUUACCCACUUUCAUCCUCUUAAGUGCUUCCUUUACUUCUGAAGAUCUAAUCCUUCUAGUGUAAGUCACAUUAUUUUCUAUUGCACUGUAGUCUAUAUUCGCGCUAUUACCACUUUGACUAUGAUUAAAGAGAUCAUAAAAAUAAUUUCUCUAUAUUUCUUUAAUGUCCUCACAUUUCACCAAUACUUUUCCUUCUUU
Molecule: unclassified non-coding RNA, 203 nt
Filed under: Hevea brasiliensis (rubber tree)
Lineage: Eukaryota; Viridiplantae; Streptophyta; Magnoliopsida; Malpighiales; Euphorbiaceae
Source: RNAcentral